Cebus imitator (Panamanian white-faced capuchin) is the source of this 533-nucleotide long non-coding RNA. RefSeq lists it as uncharacterized. The record is from RefSeq and is a predicted model, not a curated record. NCBI's taxonomy places the organism in Eukaryota, Metazoa, Chordata, Mammalia, Primates, Cebidae. The transcript has 4 exons.
AGCCACCCCACAGUCACUUCCAAUCAGAGGGGUAGGUUGCAGGGCCUGGGAAAAAGGAGAUUUGCUGAUAGAUUACUGUGCCUAGAGAGAAAAUGAAGAAACCUCUCUUUCUCAAGAGCCUUUUUGAUUUGCAUUGGAGCCCACCCCCAGGCACAAAUACUUCUUCAAACCAAUGGGAUUAAGUUCUGUGGUGAUGCUUAGGGAGAAGCACAGUACACUGACAGGAAGUGGGAGAACCUGAAGGUCGUCUGACCUUACAAAGAAUCAGAAUUGGACAGAGUUAGUCUAUGAUGCAUGGCUCUUUUUGUAUUUAUUCUACUGUGGUUCUCUGAGCUUCAAAGACACAUAGCAAGUGUGAAUCCACAAUCAAGGAUAACUUUAUGAAGAGCCCAACUACAGCUUCGUACCCAGCCAAGACUUUUGGGAUUGCUAUUUUGCCAGUUGUCUACAUUAACUGCUGUUUAUUGAACAAUAUGAUCUGUAACACAAAGUUCAUUAUAAAAAAAUGAAAUAAAUACUUGUCAUAAAUGUUA